UUUUUUUGUAGCCCUGCGAGUGAAGGCCACAGUAACCACCCUAAUUGCAGCAGCUUUAUUUCCCCUUUACAAAACCACACUCACCCUUGCUAUCUGUGACACUUAUCAUAGCUGCUAAGCCGAUGCUAGGUGCUAAACCACGAGUCCGAUUUUGCGGACACCCUUUUGUACUGUUAAUGUUUCCUGGAAUCGAUGCACUAGAAAGUAAUCAACUAUCAUUGGACCUGUGUGAUUUUGAGUGCCAUCAAUGAUCACAGAGAUGACCAUCAUUAAAGUCUCACAGGGUCUGAGAGCAGGACAAGAGGCCCUCCUGGUUAGCUGUCUGAAGAGGUGAAAAAGACAAGCCUAUUACAUACAGCAACAAAGGAAAGAAGAACAAGCCAUAGCCUAAAAAGUCCAAUUUGUGCUGAUGGAUUGAACAUGUACGUGAAAUGUCUCUGACCAUUAUUUCAAAUGCAUUUUUGUCUGAAUGUCUGCAGGGGCGUGGAAUAAAAAGCUCUAGAAGCAAACGCAGUACACACAAGGAGUGCAUUGUGAUUUGUGUUGGAACAAACAUAUUUACAUGGAAUUAUUUUUUAAAAGUGACACAUCUGAGUGUUUGUUUUUUCCCUUCAGGUUGUCAAGUUUCCUCCCAGCUCCCAAAACCAUGUCAGUAUGUGGGUUGGCUAUAAGAUGCCCCUAGGUGUGAAUGUGUGCCACUGUGUAUGUUUGUAUCCCAUCCAGGGUUUAUUCCCACCUCAUGCCCAGUGUUCUGAGGAUAGGCUCUGGAUCCACUUUGACCCCGAUCAUGAUAAAGCACUGACUGAAGAUGAGUAAGUGUCUGUGACUGGUUGACUGGGUGACUAUCUGGAGACACAGUGCUUAUGAUUAAACAGCGGUGGAUGCAGAGCCAUGAUGCAACACUUCCAGCUGCCAUAUCUCACUAUUUUGGCUUAUCUAGC
Ictalurus punctatus (channel catfish) is the source of this 941-nucleotide long non-coding RNA. NCBI's taxonomy places the organism in Eukaryota, Metazoa, Chordata, Actinopteri, Siluriformes, Ictaluridae. The record is from Ensembl.